GACGAACGCUGGCGGCGUGCUUAACACAUGCAAGUCGAACGGAAAGGCCCUGCUUGCAGGGUACUCGAGUGGCGAACGGGUGAGUAACACGUGGGUGAUCUGCCCUGCACUUCGGGAUAAGCCUGGGAAACUGGGUCUAAUACCGGAUAGGAGCCAUUUUUAGUGUGAUGGUUGGAAAGUUUUUUCGGUGUAGGAUGAGCUCGCGGCCUAUCAGCUUGUUGGUGGGGUAAUGGCCUACCAAGGCGGCGACGGGUAGCCGGCCUGAGAGGGUGGACAGCCACAUUGGGACUGAGAUACGGCCCAGACUCCUACGGGAGGCAGCAGUGGGGAAUAUUGCACAAUGGGCGCAAGCCUGAUGCAGCGACGCCGCGUGGGGGAUGACGGCCUUCGGGUUGUAAACUCCUUUCGCUAGGGACGAAGCUUUUUGUGACGGUACCUAGAGAAGAAGCACCGGCUAACUACGUG
Molecule: ribosomal RNA, 465 nt
Filed under: uncultured bacterium
Lineage: Bacteria
Description: partial 16S ribosomal RNA
Rfam family: Bacterial small subunit ribosomal RNA
Source: RNAcentral